GUUGUGCGGGAUCCCUCAGCCGUCUCGCACCGUCUUUUGAAGUGGAAGGCAUUAAGUGCUGACCAAUUGGAUUACAUUUGGAAUGCUGCGAAGGAUCCGUUCGAGGCUACUAAUGGUCCUAUUGAUUCUUUUCGAAAGACCGCAAUGGGACACGUCAGACAAAUAUGGGAUAGAUGGCGCUCGGAUUUGCACAAGGAAUAUAUCCGCAUCCAUAAAGGAGACGAGGCCGCGGUACUUGCCAAUCCUCCACCAGACUACGAUCGAGAUGAUUGGGAGUUUGUGUGUCGCAACCAUUUCUUUACGGAGAAAUUUAAGAAAAAUAGUAACACAAAUAUAGCUAACAGAAAGCAGCUGAAAUUCCCGC
Molecule: long non-coding RNA, 364 nt
Organism: Impatiens glandulifera
Lineage: Eukaryota; Viridiplantae; Streptophyta; Magnoliopsida; Ericales; Balsaminaceae
Exons: 3
Source: RefSeq, a predicted model, not a curated record